GCCGGGCGUGGUGGCGGGCGCCUGUAGUCCCAGCUACUCGGAGGCUGAGGCAGGAGAAUGGCGUGAACCCGGGAGGCGGAGCUUGCAGUGAGCCAAGAUGGCGCCACUGCACUCCAGCCUGGGUGACAGAGCGAGACUCUGUCUCAA
Molecule: non-coding RNA, 147 nt
Filed under: Pan paniscus (pygmy chimpanzee)
Lineage: Eukaryota; Metazoa; Chordata; Mammalia; Primates; Hominidae
Also listed under: 1 other name
Source: Rfam by way of RNAcentral